RNAcentral lists this ribosomal RNA (690 nucleotides) under Pseudozyma sp. HB 1204. Its description in RNAcentral is "eukaryotic LSU rRNA". It matches the Rfam family "Eukaryotic large subunit ribosomal RNA", at positions 1 to 668 of the family's 3401-position model. Lineage: Eukaryota; Fungi; Basidiomycota; Ustilaginomycetes; Ustilaginales; Ustilaginaceae. The record is from RNAcentral.
UUCAUCGGCCUCAGAUUGGUAGGACUACCCGCUGAACUUAAGCAUAUCAAUAAGCGGAGGAAAAGAAACUAACAAGGAUUCCCCUAGUAACGGCGAGUGAAGAGGGAAGAGCCCAAGAUUGAAAGCUGGCGUCUUCGACGUCCGCAUUGUAAUCUCAAGAAGUGUUUUCCGCUUCGGACCAUGCCUAAGUCCCUUGGAAAAGGGCAUCAUAGAGGGUGAUAAUCCCGUACAUGGCAUGGAGCGCCCGAGGCUUUGUGAUACGCUUUCUAAGAGUCGAGUUGUUUGGGAAUGCAGCUCAAAAUGGGUGGUAAAUGCCAUCUAAGGCUAAAUAUUGGGGAGAGACCGAUAGCGAACAAGUACAGUGAUGGAAAGAUGAAAAGAACUUUGAAAAGAGAGUUAAACAGUACGUGAAAUUGCCAAAAGGGAAGGGUAGGAGGUCAGAGAUGCGUCUUGGGAUUCAGCCUUGCUUUUGCUUGGUGUUUUUCCCAAGUUGCAGGCCAACGUCGGUUUUGGGCACUGGAGAAGGGUGGAAGGAACGUGGCACCUCUCGGGGUGUGUUAUAGCCUUCCACUGGAUACAGCGACCGAGACCGAGGACAGCAGCGUACUCGCAAGAGCGGGCCUUCGGGCACCUUUACGCUUAGGGCGUUGGCAUAAUGGCCCUCUACCACCCGUCUUGAAACACGGACCA